RNAcentral lists this unclassified non-coding RNA (591 nucleotides) under Homalodisca vitripennis (glassy-winged sharpshooter). Its description in RNAcentral is "uncharacterized LOC124354217, transcript variant X5". Lineage: Eukaryota; Metazoa; Arthropoda; Insecta; Hemiptera; Cicadellidae. The record is from RNAcentral.
ACUUUUCAGAGGUGUAAAUACUUGAGCUCAACUGGAUGAUGGCUUUCUUAAGAAGUUUCCUGAUGUCAAACAGAAGUUACUAGGAAAAAUUCAUUCCAAUAUAGAAGAGGAGUUGGUUGCUUUAGAUAAAUUACAAAAGGAAAUAAAGGCACUUGUGGAUGGAUUGAAAUUUCGAUUGACUUCUGUGGAGAAAGCGUAUGCAAAGCACAACCCGGAUGAAGACAAAGAGUUCAACCCUCUUAAUCCUGGAAAUGGGAGUUUGUUGGAGUAUGCUGGAGAUUCCUGGGGAUGUUUCCAUAUAUUAUGGCUUGGAGUGAAAACGGCAAUAGAGACAAUUGAUUAUUUUGAAAAAGAAUCGAUAACGAAUAUUUCAGAUGCCUUUUCGAAAUAUAAACUGGUGCAGACACAUUUGCAAGAUAUUCUAGAUUUGACAUACUACUUACGAACGACAUAACCAAAUCAGAGAAGUCAGGUGAUGGAAGAAUUCUAAAAUAGUGCAAUAAUAUUUUAUUAAGUACAAAGAAAUUCAUGUAUAUUUUUUAAAUAAUUUUUUAUGGUUAUAAAUAAAAAUAAUUGUAUAUACAAUAUUAA